Molecule: ribosomal RNA, 496 nt
Filed under: uncultured bacterium
Lineage: Bacteria
Description: partial 16S ribosomal RNA
Rfam family: Bacterial small subunit ribosomal RNA
Source: RNAcentral
ACGAACGCUGGCGGCGUGCCUAAUACAUGCAAGUUGAGCGCUGAAGGUUGGUACUUGUACCAACUGGAUGAGCAGCGAACGGGUGAGUAACGCGUGGGGAAUCUGCCUUUGAGCGGGGGACAACAUUUGGAAACGAAUGCUAAUACCGCAUAAAAACUUUAAACACAAGUUUUAAGUUUGAAAGAUGCAAUUGCAUCACCCAAAGAUGAUCCCGCGUUGUAUUAGCUAGUUGGUGAGGUAAAGGCUCACCAAGGCGAUGAUACAUAGCCGACCUGAGAGGGUGAUCGGCCACAUUGGGACUGAGACACGGCCCAAACUCCUACGGGAGGCAGCAGUAGGGAAUCUUCGGCAAUGGACGAAAGUCUGACCGAGCAACGCCGCGUGAGUGAAGAAGGUUUUCGGAUCGUAAAACUCUGUUGGUAGAGAAGAACGUUGGUGAGAGUGGAAAGCUCAUCAAGUGACGGUAACUACCCAGAAAGGGACGGCUAACUACGUG